This 557-nucleotide ribosomal RNA is filed under the name uncultured archaeon. Its description in RNAcentral is "bacterial SSU rRNA". It matches the Rfam family "Archaeal small subunit ribosomal RNA", at positions 1 to 549 of the family's 1478-position model. The record is from RNAcentral.
CUCGAGGCCAGAUCUUUCCGGUUGAUCCUGCCGGACCUGACUGCUAUCGGAUUGAUACUAAGCCAUGCGAGUCAUUGUAGCAAUACAAGGCAGACGGCUCAGUAACACGUAGUCAAUCUACCCUAUGGACGGGGAUAACCUCGGGAAACUGAGAAUAAUACCCGAUAGAUCAUUAUGCCUGGAAUGGUCUAUGGUCCAAAUGAUAUAUCGCCAUAGGAUGGGACUGCGGUCUAUCAGCUUGUUGGUGAGGUAAUGGCCCACCAAGGCUAUAACAGAUACGGGCUCUGAGAGGAGAAGCCCGGAGAUGGGUACUGAGACACGGACCCAGGCCCUAUGGGGCGCAGCAGGCGAGAAAACUUUGCAAUGUGCGAAAGCACGACAAGGUUAAUCCGAGUGGUUUCUGCUAAAGGAAUCUUUUGUCAGUCCUAAAAACACUGACGAAUAAGGGGUGGGCAAGUUCUGGUGUCAGCCGCCGCGGUAAAACCAGCACCUCAAGUGGUCAGGAGGAUUAUUGGGCCUAAAGCAUCCGUAGCCGGCCGUGUAAGUUUUCGGUUAAA